Molecule: small nuclear RNA, 20 nt
Filed under: Arabidopsis thaliana (thale cress)
Lineage: Eukaryota; Viridiplantae; Streptophyta; Magnoliopsida; Brassicales; Brassicaceae
Description: snRNA_06411
Source: RNAcentral
UCAAGGACAGAUUGGAGUUA